UUACCCCUGGUGUUGGGCACGACAAACACCAAACCUCCCUGUUGGACUUAGCCCCGCCUCGUGCGGGGCUUUUUUU
RNAcentral lists this non-coding RNA (76 nucleotides) under Thalassobium sp. R2A62. RNAcentral's name for it is "Thalassiobium sp. R2A62 Singlet oxygen resistance RNA X". It matches the Rfam family "Singlet oxygen resistance RNA X". From Rfam's summary of the family: SorX (RSs2461)like SorY is a singlet oxygen induced sRNA that counteracts oxidative stress by targeting mRNA for a transporter in Rhodobacter. It also has an impact on resistance against organic hydroperoxides. Lineage: Bacteria; Pseudomonadati; Pseudomonadota; Alphaproteobacteria; Rhodobacterales; Paracoccaceae. The record is from Rfam by way of RNAcentral.